GACGAACGCUGGCGGCGUGCUUAACACAUGCAAGUCGAACGGUGAAGCGCCUUCCUUUUUGGUGGGUGUGGAUGAGUGGCGAACGGGUGAGUAACACGUGAGUAACCUGCCCCCUACUUCUGGAGAACCGCAUGAAAGUGAGGCUAAAACGGGUUAGUCUGGGUCUGUCGCAUGAUGGGUCUGGGCAAGAUAUUGUUUCGGUGGGGGAUGGGCUCGCGGCCUAUCAGCUUGGUGGUGGGGUGAUGGCCUACCGAGGCGGUGAGGGGUAGCCGGCCUGGGAUGAUGGGCGGUCACAGUGGUGCGAAAACACGGACAAGACUACGGCAGGAGGCAGCGGGGAGGAUUAUUGAACGGGGGGCGCAAGGAUGAUGCAGCGACGCCGCGUGGGAGAUGGAGGCCGUCUUGUUGUGAACCUCUUUCGGCAGUGAAGCGGGCCUGCCUCGUUUGUGGGUGGGUUGACGUUAGCUGGAGAAGAAGCGCCGGCUAACUACGUG
This 494-nucleotide ribosomal RNA is filed under the name uncultured bacterium. Its description in RNAcentral is "partial 16S ribosomal RNA". It matches the Rfam family "Bacterial small subunit ribosomal RNA", at positions 28 to 507 of the family's 1533-position model. The record is from RNAcentral.